UUUGCUCUCUCCACUCCCUCACACUCUUCUCCUACCUCCACCCACGAAAUUGCUGCUGCCCCUUGCUCCCAUGGCCGGCCAUGGCCAUGGAAAACUCACCAAGAUGAAGCUCCCUCCUCCCUCAAGCUUCCCCUCACCAUGAGAGCCUCCCUCUCCAUCUUCUCCCCAACCCUUGAUGGUUCAAUCUUCUCUUCUUCUUCCUCCAUUGCUAAGAUUGGAUCUUGAUGCAGGUGCAUGUUGGUCCAAGCAUGGAGAAGGUUGAGCUAUCCUCAGAUCUGAAGUUCUUGAGCAAAAUCCAAAUCGAGUGAUUCAAAGCUACGCAGAUAGGUAUUGAAAAUAUCUACAACUUGGCGUUGGUCUCAUCCUCAAAUUCGUUACGGAUUCUGCAUGGUGAAAUCCCUCUUCAAUACCUUCAUUUUGGCGGUGGUUUCACUUCGAUUGACCUCCUGAAACUGAAAUGGUUUACAGAUCAAGAUCUGGUCAGAUCUGACUUUGUCGAAUUAAACCAGGAGCUUGGGAACGAAUUUUUGAAUGAAACCAGUUGGGGGAUAUUUGGUUUAUACCAUGGUGAUAACCGAGAGAGGCAAUUGCUAAGUUAUGAUGCACUCAUACCUUUACUAGAUGCGAACACUUCCGGAGAAGAAGAAGAAGUGGAAUCGGAUGAGAAGAUUAUUUAUAUUGUUGGAAUUCUUAUAUUGAUGGAUUUGAAGAAGUACAUGGACAAAUAAGCCAAGGAAAGCCAUCUUUUGAUCUCUGAUUCGGUGUCUAGUUGGAUGUCAUUUGUUGAUAUCCAAAGCACCUUGAUUCUAUGUGUGUUGUUCUCUUUAUUAUUGUCAUCUAUGUAUGGUUGCUAGUGGGGUACUCCCUAGUGGUGAUACUCCACUAUUGUCUUUAUGAUUAUGGGAUGCAUGGUAUCAUGGCCGUGCUAUUCCUCUUGGUUAUCCUGUAUGCUCGACUUGAGCAUGUUCCAUCUCAAGAUAAUGACUUACACCACACCCACCACUUUUGUAGUAUAGAGUUAUCAAUGCCAUGAUCUUGGUGUAUUCUCAACUUGAGAGGAGUAUGCCGUGUACCCAUUGGAGAGUAUGUUUCAUAGUGUUACUCCACUAUCUAAGUUGUAUUUUCUUAGCACCACAAAUCUGAAAGAAUAAUCCUCCUUAUGUUGUCCCUAUACAUGCUUAUCCUAAGUAUGUAUGAUCCCCUUAACACCUCAAUUAUCAUCCCCUUGUGGUAUGAUGGCUAGCAUCAUGUCAUUGUGACUCUUAGUUCCUUCAUAAAACCAUAGGUUGGGAACCCCCUUGGAAAAAUACCUUGUUGAAAAGAAUUUUUGAAAACCUUGUGUGAGUUGGACUUACCCAAGCGUGUGUUUAUGAAAGGAAAGGAUCUUGGCAAAGAUGGUUGAAAAGAAAAUCUUGUUUUCGAAAACUUUGGCGCCUAAGUAUUCACCCGUGAUAAUUAACCCGCGCAACCACAUUACCCUGGGGUGGGACGGGGCUUAGCUCGUAGUUUGUUCUUCUUAACAUGGGACACCGCACAACUAUAUAAGGGUAAGGUUACCCCUGAAUCCGGAUUGUCGUUGGUGGAGACAAUAGUAUAACGGGAGGCCUUCGGGGCUGACCCGUCCGGAAGACACUAUGGGUCUCCUGGCUUGGCGGUGGAGCCACGCUCAAAGUGAGGUGAGCUUCCACGGUGCCGGGGAGGUACAUACUCCAUAGGGUAGGAUCCCGUGCUAAGACGAAUAGGCGAAAGGCUAUGUCCGAGUUUUUGUCAUGGCAUAGUUGAUAUGCAGGGAUGAUGCCCACAUGAUGAACUCGCGGAUCUUGUGGGGAAAGUGUGCAAACUCUGCAGAGUCAAAUCUAUUCGAAUAGCCGUGUCCGCGGUCAUGGACGGUUGAAAUGGCUGUUGCUUAGCCUGAUGAGUUUUGUUUGAGAAAGUGUUUACCAAAGGAAAAAGGAACUUGUUUUUGGAGUACCGGAAGGGUACUAGGAUGGUUGGGUUGACCAUAUGGAGAUGGUCGGAAA
Non-coding RNA from Lolium perenne, 2021 nucleotides. The record is from RefSeq and is a predicted model, not a curated record. Lineage: Eukaryota; Viridiplantae; Streptophyta; Magnoliopsida; Poales; Poaceae.